This 414-nucleotide RNase P RNA is filed under the name Candidatus Wolfebacteria bacterium GWA1_42_9. RNAcentral describes it as "RNase P RNA component class A". It matches the Rfam family "Bacterial RNase P class A". Rfam says of the family: Ribonuclease P (RNase P) is a ubiquitous endoribonuclease, found in archaea, bacteria and eukarya as well as chloroplasts and mitochondria. Its best characterised activity is the generation of mature 5'-ends of tRNAs by cleaving the 5'-leader elements of precursor-tRNAs. Lineage: Bacteria; Candidatus Wolfeibacteriota. The record is from RNAcentral.
GAAGCAGACUAGACAGCUACCUUCCAUAUAAGUGGGGGGAGGAAAGUCCGGACUCCCAUUUCCGACUUUGUCGGAAUAAACGUAUCCGCUAACAGCGGACUGCCGGAAGGCAAGAGGUGCGAACAGAGACGUCCCGAUUUGAAAAAAUCGAGGAUGCCGAGCAUACAGUUUGCUGUGUGCUUGGCGAGCUUUCGAAAUAACUUGGGGUCUUACUCAGAACGCAAGUUCAAGGGUUUACCCUGAGCGAAGUCGAAGGGUGAAACGGCUAAAUCCUUGCGGGGUGCAAGACCGUAUCCCGCUCUGUUUACAGGGCGGGGUGAGUCGCUUGAACUCAAGAGCAAUCGAGGGUCCAGAUAAAUUACUGUCAUCCGCCAAGCGGCGGAACAGAAUCCGGCUUAUAGGUUUGCUAAUAAA